CUACGGGUGGCUGCAGUGAGGAAUUUUGCGCAAUGGGGGAAACCCUGACGCAGCAACGCCGCGUGAGCGAAGAAGGCCCUCGGGUCGUAAAGCUCUGUCAAGUGGGAAAAAAAUCCCUUGAUCAAUAGUCAAAGGGCUUGAUGGUACCACUGGAGGAAGCACCGGCUAACUCCGUGCCAGCAGCCGCGGUAAUACGGAGGGUGCAAGCGUUGUUCGGAUUUACUGGGCGUAAAGAGCGUGUAGGCGGUUUAGCAAGUCAGAUGUGAAAGCCCUGGGCUCAACCCGGGAAGUGCAUUUGAAACUGCUUCGCUAGAGUAUGGGAGAGGAGAGUGGAAUUCCUGGUGUAGAGGUGAAAUUCGUAGAUAUCAGGAGGAACACCCGUGGCGAAGGCGAUUCUCUGGACCAAUACUGACGCUGAGACGCGAAAGCGUGGGGAGCAAACAGGAUUAGAUACCCUUGUAGUC
Molecule: ribosomal RNA, 464 nt
Filed under: uncultured bacterium
Lineage: Bacteria
Description: partial 16S ribosomal RNA
Rfam family: Bacterial small subunit ribosomal RNA
Source: RNAcentral